RNAcentral lists this ribosomal RNA (534 nucleotides) under uncultured bacterium. Its description in RNAcentral is "bacterial SSU rRNA". It matches the Rfam family "Bacterial small subunit ribosomal RNA", at positions 774 to 1295 of the family's 1533-position model. The record is from RNAcentral.
AGAGAAUAGAUACCCUGGUAGUCCUAGCUGUAAACGGUGCACGUUUGCUGUAAAAGGAAUCGACCCCUUUUGUGGCGAAAGCUAAACGCGAUAAACGUGCCGCCUGGGGAGUACGGUCGCAAGAUUAAAACUCAAAGAAAUUGACGGGGGCCUGCACAAGCGGUGGAGUAUGUGGCUUAAAUUCGAUGCAACGCGAAGAACCUUACCUGGCCUUGACAUGCACGUAGUAGAAGCGUGAAAGCGUAACGAACCCGCAAGGGUAGCGUGCACAGGUGCUGCAUGGCUGUCGUCAGCUCGUGUCGUGAGAUGUUGGGUUAAGUCCCGCAGCGAGCGCAACCCUUGUGUCCUGUUGCCACUCAAUCGAGAGAUUGGAGCACUCUGGACAGACUGCCUCGCUUAAACGAGGAGGAAGGUGGGAUGACGUCAAGUCAGGAUGGCCCUUACGGCCAGGGCUGCACACGUACUACAAUGCCCGGUACAAAGGGAAGCAAGACCGAUAGGUGGAGCAAAUCCCAAAAAACCGGGCUCAGUUCA